AAGUCGUAACAAGGUUUCCGUAGGUGAACCUGCGGAAGGAUCAUUACCAAAGUUUUACACUUUUGUAUGUGCACAGUAGGCCUGCCCUGGUGGUCCGACACUAGUUGUUGGGCCACCGUGUAACCACGUAUACUUAUCAGCUGACUUUUAUAUAAACAAAAUAAAAGACAACUUUUAGCAACGGAUCUCUAGGCUCUC
This 198-nucleotide unclassified non-coding RNA is filed under the name fungal sp. RNAcentral's name for it is "partial internal transcribed spacer region". The stretch from base 1 to 46 matches the Rfam family "Eukaryotic small subunit ribosomal RNA", at positions 1786 to 1831 of the family's 1831-position model. The record is from RNAcentral. Lineage: Eukaryota; Fungi.